RNAcentral lists this long non-coding RNA (1509 nucleotides) under Phaseolus vulgaris (common bean). Its description in RNAcentral is "long non-coding RNA (PVUL_LNC000460)". The record is from RNAcentral. Lineage: Eukaryota; Viridiplantae; Streptophyta; Magnoliopsida; Fabales; Fabaceae.
UUUUCUAUGGUGUGUCCUUUUCUUAACCAUAUAAAUGGAAAACUAUUGAAGCAUUGAUGUAAAUAUGUACGUUGUUUGCACGCAAACCCGAUUCAUAGGUUGUUAAAUGCACAUUUUCUAGAGUUCUUCAUUAUUUGAUGCUCAUAAUGGAAUUUCUCCUCACGUUGAUGAACAAAGACAAAAUAACCCUACCUUUUCAUCUUAAAUUUAACGUGUGGAAUUAAGUUGGUUGAUAACAUCAAUCAUUUUAUGAAAUAUUGUUAUAUUUAGGGGUAAAAGUUUUGUUUAACAGAGAUCAUCGGGCUUCACUAACUAGGAGUUCAUACACACUGGGUCCCGCUGUAUACACUCAGUAUUGAAGGUUUGAAUUUAUCCUCAUCUUUGAUGUAUGGAUUAGAGGUUAGUCUUUGGUAGGAACAUACUUAAUGAGCCUUUCGGAAGACAAUGGAUUCAUGUGUAGUUAGUAUGAUUGAAAUGAAAUCAAAGUGUUAUGGAUUGAAAUGAAAUUCAAUGACUGUGAUUGAAAAUAAAUCCAUGUGUGAUCUAUAAGAAUGAUGGAAUUGACAUUGAAAGUUUAUAUGACAACAUUUAAAUAAAUGUUUAUAAAUGAUAAAUUUGAUUGGUUCUUUCUGCAUGGAUUAAGUAUGUUAUGGAAUUUCUUUUCAUUAGCUUAUCUUUGUUGUGUUGUGAAUUGCGAUGACUGUACUACGUACACGAGCACACGAUCAUACAUGUGUUGGAGGGCUUUGGGAUGCUAUUUUAAACCUUAUAUUGUAAAUAUUUGUAUUUCUACAAACUCUAAUAAUGUAUUAAAAAUGUUUUGGAAAACUCUAAGUUUGUAUAGAAAUAUGUAAAACUUAUAUUCUAAUAAUUAGAUGAAAUUAUUACAGUGUUAAUGUUCUUGCCGGUUGACUCUGGUGACAAGCUCUACUCCAGUCCGUCUAUUUUGGAAUCUGUUCUACGUCUUGUUGCACUGGAACGUGACUUCACUGAAACAUAGGGGGUCCUACCUGUUGAUCACACUCCGACGAUCAAGUCAGUAAGAGCCUACUAAAAUUCAAGAAGUAUUCAGUUUCAAUCUCAGAAACAACAUACAUUUAGCUGAGGUCUCAAACCCCUUUUAUAGCUUAUUUCUUAUAACAACUUUCUCUCAUGAGAAUCUAAUCUUAAUCAAAAGCAUACGUAAUAGAAAAACAUUUUGUUUAUGGGCACGUUCACUCAAGGUGUUACAACAGAAAAUAAUUUUAUCUCUAAUGAGCGCUUAAAAUAACAACAAAAAAACCACCUGCAAACGGGGCACCACUUAUCUUCAGGUGCUAACUACAGAAAAAUAUUAUGCUUACGUGGGCACUCUUACUCAUGGUGCAACGUUAUCUUUCACUAUGCAUGCAACUUAACCACUACGUGUUCUAAACACACACUUAAGUUACAAUAUAUUUACGUGACUUAACCACCACAUGUACUACAUGUACCCCUAGAUUAAGAGACACUCCUUACUAAUAACCUUAU